This 586-nucleotide ribosomal RNA is filed under the name bacterium IRQ_54. RNAcentral describes it as "bacterial SSU rRNA". It matches the Rfam family "Bacterial small subunit ribosomal RNA", at positions 894 to 1480 of the family's 1533-position model. The record is from RNAcentral.
UUAAAACUCAAAUGAAUUGACGGGGGCCCGCACAAGCGGUGGAGCAUGUGGUUUAAUUCGAUGCAACGCGAAGAACCUUACCUGGUCUUGACAUCCACAGAACUUUCCAGAGAUGGAUUGGUGCCUUCGGGAACUGUGAGACAGGUGCUGCAUGGCUGUCGUCAGCUCGUGUUGUGAAAUGUUGGGUUAAGUCCCGCAACGAGCGCAACCCUUAUCCUUUGUUGCCAGCGGUCCGGCCGGGAACUCAAAGGAGACUGCCAGUGAUAAACUGGAGGAAGGUGGGGAUGACGUCAAGUCAUCAUGGCCCUUACGACCAGGGCUACACACGUGCUACAAUGGCGCAUACAAAGAGAAGCGACCUCGCGAGAGCAAGCGGACCUCAUAAAGUGCGUCGUAGUCCGGAUUGGAGUCUGCAACUCGACUCCAUGAAGUCGGAAUCGCUAGUAAUCGUAGAUCAGAAUGCUACGGUGAAUACGUUCCCGGGCCUUGUACACACCGCCCGUCACACCAUGGGAGUGGGUUGCAAAAGAAGUAGGUAGCUUAACCUUCGGGAGGGCGCUUACCACUUUGUGAUUCAUGACUGGGG